CUUUUUUUUUUUUUUUUGGUACCAGGAAUCAAACUCAGGAUCUUGAACUUGCCAGGCGGACGCUGUGCCGCUGAGCUACAUCCCUGGGCGCCAAUUUCAAUGAUCUGCACAGAAAGAGCAGUGCUGUUUGUGGAUCUGGGUUUUCACCAAGGUCUUCUUGCCUAUGUUUUAACUGGCCGGAGAUCCAGACGGACAUAAAUCUGGGAAGGGGCCACAGAGGGGAGGUGUUGUCUUCGGUACGGGCAUUUUAUAUCUUGAAAACCUCAAGCAUAACAUUUGCAAGAUUUCUAUCAGACUUGCCAAGGACUAACCAUCAAGUCGUCCACAACCAGUACCUUGAUGAUUAACUGUAUUUCAGCCUUGAGGUUGGUUUGCUGCACUUUCAGAAAUUUUGGCAAAAAGGUUAUAAUGUCAAAUGGAUUUAAACAUAUAUUUAAACAUUAAUUACACUCAUGAACCUACUCUAUAGUGCCCGACUAGUAUGCAAACCCCAUGAGAUUAAAGACAACACGAGUCACUCCUAUGUACAGAAUGCAUUUUUUGCCGUACAUACUUAUAAACUUUUAUAAGAUUGUGAUUUCUGGUUUAGGUUUAUUGUAAUGAUUAAUUUUAAUGUGUCAAUUAGACUACAUUACAGACUAUCCAGAUGUGAUUAAAUAAUAUCAAGAGUG
Molecule: long non-coding RNA, 671 nt
Filed under: Chinchilla lanigera (long-tailed chinchilla)
Lineage: Eukaryota; Metazoa; Chordata; Mammalia; Rodentia; Chinchillidae
Description: lncRNA (ENSCLAG00000023775.1)
Source: RNAcentral